This 482-nucleotide ribosomal RNA is filed under the name uncultured bacterium. RNAcentral describes it as "bacterial SSU rRNA". It matches the Rfam family "Bacterial small subunit ribosomal RNA", at positions 28 to 507 of the family's 1533-position model. The record is from RNAcentral.
GACGAACGCUGGCGGCGUGCUUAACACAUGCAAGUCGAACGGAGAUUAUUAAUGAAGCUUGCGAUUUAAUAAUCUUAGUGGCGGACGGGUGAGUAACGCGUGGGCAACCUACCCAUAAGAGGGGGAUAACAGCUGGAAACGGCUGCUAAUACCGCAUAAACUUUUUAAGACCCAUGUUUUAAAAAGGAAAGGUGGCGCAAGCUAUCGCUUAUGGAUGGGCCCGCGUCUGAUUAGCUAGUUGGUGGGUAACGGCCUACCAAGGCAACGAUCAGUAGCCGGCCUGAGAGGGUGAACGGCCACACUGGAACUGAGACACGGUCCAGACUCCUACGGGAGGCAGCAGUGGGGAAUAUUGCACAAUGGGCGCAAGCCUGAUGCAGCGACGCCGCGUGAGCGAAGAAGGUUUUCGGAUCGUAAAAGCUCUGUCCUCUGGGAAGAAAAAAAUGACGGUACCAGAGGAGGAAGCCCCGGCUAACUACGUG